UGGUGGAGCGAUUUGUCUGGUUAAUUCCGAUAACGAACGAGACUCUGGCCUAUUAAAUAGUUCGCCGAUUCCGAUCUGUCGGCGUUAACUUCUUAGAGGGACAAGUGGCUUUAGCCACGCGAGAUUGAGCAAUAACA
Molecule: ribosomal RNA, 137 nt
Filed under: uncultured eukaryote
Lineage: Eukaryota
Description: partial 18S ribosomal RNA
Rfam family: Eukaryotic small subunit ribosomal RNA
Source: RNAcentral